This 1014-nucleotide small RNA is filed under the name Pan troglodytes (chimpanzee). RNAcentral's name for it is "retained intron". Lineage: Eukaryota; Metazoa; Chordata; Mammalia; Primates; Hominidae. The record is from RNAcentral.
GCAGGUUAGAGCCUGGCAAUGCCGUUUGGGUGUGUGACUCUGGGCGACAAGAAGAACUAUAACCAGCCAUCGGAGGUGACUGACAGAUAUGAUUUGGGACAGGUCAUCAAGACUGAGGAGUUCUGUGAAAUCUUCCGGGCCAAGGACAAGACGACAGGCAAGCUGCACACCUGCAAGAAGUUCCAGAAGCGGGACGGCCGCAAGGUGCGGAAAGCUGCCAAGAACGAGAUAGGCAUCCUCAAGAUGGUGAAGCAUCCCAACAUCCUACAGCUGGUGGAUGUGUUUGUGACCCGCAAGGAGUACUUUAUCUUCCUGGAGCUGUGAGUGUGGGUCUGGGGACCCAAGAUUCCCCAGCGCCCAGGGCUUUCACCUGUCCCACCCUCUGCAGCUAAGGAAACCCCCUUUCUGGACCCUUGGCGUCCCAGGUCCCUGUGCCUUGCUCAGCCAGCUGCCUGGCGUAGGCAGCUCACCCAAGUGCUCCUGCCCUACCCCUGAUUCUGCCCACGCCAGGCUCAGGGGCUGGUGUCCCUCAGGGCCACGGGGAGGGAGGUGUUUGACUGGAUCCUGGACCAGGGCUACUACUCGGAGCGAGACACAAGCAACGUGGUACGGCAAGUCCUGGAGGCCGUGGCCUAUUUGCACUCACUCAAGAUCGUGCACAGGAAUCUCAAGCUGGAGAACCUGGUUUACUACAACCGGCUGAAGAACUCGAAGAUUGUCAUCAGUGACUUCCAUCUGGCUAAGCUAGAAAAUGGCCUCAUCAAGGAGCCCUGUGGGACCCCCGAGUAUCUGGGCAAGCAGGGGGUGGGGCAGGGGCAGGGGGAUAAUGGGGGGCAGCCUUCAGGGAGCUGCUCUGGGCAGGGGGAAAAUGUGCUCAUCUCAGGAAGCUGGUGUGGAUGGUACUGGACCUGGCUAGGCCUGAUACUGACCAGCAGAUGGGCGCUGUGUUUGUAGCCCCAGAAGUGGUAGGCCGGCAGCGGUAUGGACGCCCUGUGGACUGCUGGGCCAUUGGAG